This 305-nucleotide ribosomal RNA is filed under the name uncultured bacterium. Its description in RNAcentral is "bacterial SSU rRNA". It matches the Rfam family "Bacterial small subunit ribosomal RNA", at positions 331 to 651 of the family's 1533-position model. The record is from RNAcentral.
GUCGACCUACGGGAGGCAGCAGUGGGGAAUAUUGGACAAUGGGGGGAACCCUGAUCCAGCGACGCCGCGUGAGUGAAGAAGUAUUUCGGUAUGUAAAGCUCUAUCAGCAGGGAAGAAAGAAAUGACGGUACCUGACUAAGAAGCCCCGGCUAACUACGUGCCAGCAGCCGCGGUAAUACGUAGGGGGCAAGCGUUAUCCGGAUUUACUGGGUGUAAAGGGAGCGUAGACGGCAGUGCAAGUCUGAAGUGAAAGGCGGGGGCCCAACCCCCGGGACUGCAUUUGGAACUGUGCUGCUAGAGGGUCG